GACGCCGUAGCAAUACGGAGUGGCAGACGGGUGAGUAACGCGUGGGAACAUACCCCUCGGUUCGGAAUAACUCAGGGAAACUUGAGCUAAUACCGGAUACGUCCGAGGUUUUAAUCGACCUUGGAGAAAGAUUUAUCGCCGGAGGAUUGGCCCGCGUCUGAUUAGCUUGUUGGUGAGGUAAUGGCUCACCAAGGCGACGAUCAGUAGCUGGUCUGAGAGGAUGAUCAGCCACAUUGGGACUGAGACACGGCCCAAACUCCUACGGGAGGCAGCAGUGGGGAAUAUUGGACAAUGGGCGAAAGCCUGAUCCAGCCAUGCCGCGUGAGUGAUGAAGGCCUUAGGGUUGUAAAGCUCUUUUACCCGGGAAGAUAAUGACGGUACCGGGAGAAUAAGCCCCGGCUAACUUCGUGCCAGCAGCCGCGGUAAUACGAAGGGGGCUAGCGUUGUUCGGAAUUACUGGGCGUAGAGCGCACGUAGGCGGAUCCUUAAGUCAGGGGUGAAAUCCCGAGGCUCAACCUCGGAACUGCCUUUGAUACUGGGGAUAUCGAGUCCGGGAGAGGUGAGUGGAACUGCGAGUGUAGAGGUGAAAUUCGUAGAUAUUCGCAAGAACACCAGUGGCGGAGGCGGCUCACUGGCCCGGUACUGACGCUGAGGUGCGAAAGCGUGGGGAGCAAACAGGAUUAGAUACCCUGGUAGUCCACGCCGUAUACGAUGGAUGCUAGCCGUUAGACAGCUUGCUGUUAGUGGCGCAGUUAACGCGUUAGCAUCCCGCCUGGGGAGUACGGUCGCUAGAUUAAACUCAAGGAAUUGAUGGGGG
RNAcentral lists this ribosomal RNA (817 nucleotides) under uncultured Alphaproteobacteria bacterium. RNAcentral describes it as "bacterial SSU rRNA". It matches the Rfam family "Bacterial small subunit ribosomal RNA", at positions 65 to 919 of the family's 1533-position model. Lineage: Bacteria; Pseudomonadati; Pseudomonadota; Alphaproteobacteria. The record is from RNAcentral.